UUUUCAUCAGACAAUCUGUGUGAGCACUNNNNNNNNNNNNNNNNNNNNUUCUUUAAGGUAAGGAGGUGAUCCAACCGCAGGUUCCCCUACGGUUACCUUGUUACGACUUCACCCCAGUCAUGAAUCACAAAGUGGUAAGCGCCCUCCCGAAGGUUAAGCUACCUACUUCUUUUGCAACCCACUCCCAUGGUGUGACGGGCGGUGUGUACAAGGCCCGGGAACGUAUUCACCGUGGCAUUCUGAUCCACGAUUACUAGCGAUUCCGACUUCAUGGAGUCGAGUUGCAGACUCCAAUCCGGACUACGACGCACUUUAUGAGGUCCGCUUGCUCUCGCGAGGUCGCUUCUCUUUGUAUGCGCCAUUGUAGCACGUGUGUAGCCCUGGUCGUAAGGGCCAUGAUGACUUGACGUCANNNNNNNNNNNNNNNNNNNNUGGUCGUAAGGGCCAUGAUGACUUGACGUCAUCCCCACCUUCCUCCAGUUUAUCACUGGCAGUCUCCUUUGAGUUCCCGGCCGGACCGCUGGCAACAAAGGAUAAGGGUUGCGCUCGUUGCGGGACUUAACCCAACAUUUCACAACACGAGCUGACGACAGCCAUGCAGCACCUGUCUCACGGUUCCCGAAGGCACAUUCUCAUCUCUGAAAACUUCCGUGGAUGUCAAGACCAGGUAAGGUUCUUCGCGUUGCAUCGAAUUAAACCACAUGCUCCACCGCUUGUGCGGGCCCCCGUCAAUUCAUUUGAGUUUUAACCUUGCGGCCGUACUCCCCAGGCGGUCUACUUAACGCGUUAGCUCCGGAAGCCACGCCUCAAGGGCACAACCUCCAAGUAGACAUCGUUUACGGCGUGGACUACCAGGGUAUCUAAUCCUGUUUGCUCCCCACGCUUUCGCACCUGAGCGUCAGUCUUUGUCCAGGGGGCCGCCUUCGCCACCGGUAUUCCUCCAGAUCUCUACGCAUUUCACCGCUACACCUGGAAUUCUACCCCCCUCUACAAGACUCAAGCCUGCCAGUUUCGAAUGCAGUUCCCAGGUUGAGCCCGGGGAUUUCACAUCCGACUUGACAGACCGCCUGCGUGCGCUUUACGCCCAGUAAUUCCGAUUAACGCUUGCACCCUCCGUAUUACCGCGGCUGCUGGCACGGAGUUAGCCGGUGCUUCUUCUGCGGGUAACGUCAAUUGCUGCGGUUAUUAACCACAACACCUUCCUCCCCGCUGAAAGUACUUUACAACCCGAAGGCCUUCUUCAUACACGCGGCAUGGCUGCAUCAGGCUUGCGCCCAUUGUGCAAUAUUCCCCACUGCUGCCUCCCGUAGGAGUCUGGACCGUGUCUCAGUUCCAGUGUGGCUGGUCAUCCUCUCAGACCAGCUAGGGAUCGUCGCCUUGGUGAGCCGUUACCUCACCAACAAGCUAAUCCCAUCUGGGCACAUCUGAUGGCAAGAGGCCCGAAGGUCCCCCUCUUUGGUCUUGCGACGUUAUGCGGUAUUAGCCACCGUUUCCAGUAGUUAUCCCCCUCCAUCAGGCANNNNNNNNNNNNNNNNNNNNCCCGUCCGCCACUCGUCAGCAAAGCAGCAAGCUGCUUCCUGUUACCGUUCGACUUGCAUGUGUUAGGCCUGCCGCCAGCGUUCAAUCUGAGCCAUGAUCAAACUCUUCAAUUUAAAAGUUUGAUGCUCAAUGAAUUAAACUUCGUAAUGAAUUACGUGUUCACUCUUGAGACUUGGUAUUCAUUUUUCGU
RNAcentral lists this ribosomal RNA (1729 nucleotides) under Salmonella enterica subsp. enterica serovar Paratyphi A. RNAcentral describes it as "16S ribosomal RNA". Lineage: Bacteria; Pseudomonadati; Pseudomonadota; Gammaproteobacteria; Enterobacterales; Enterobacteriaceae. The record is from RNAcentral.